This 758-nucleotide ribosomal RNA is filed under the name uncultured bacterium. Its description in RNAcentral is "bacterial SSU rRNA". It matches the Rfam family "Bacterial small subunit ribosomal RNA", at positions 8 to 796 of the family's 1533-position model. The record is from RNAcentral.
AGAGUUUGAUCAUGGCUCAGAAUCAACGCUGGCGGCGCGCUUAACACAUGCAAGUCGCACGAGAAAGCAGGAGCAAUCUUGUGAGUAAAGUGGCGUACGGGUGAGUAACACGUGGAUCAUCUACCUUCUAGUGGGGCAUACCUCUGGGAAACCGGAGAUAAUUCCGCAUAAGCUCGUGAGAGGAAAGCAGCAAUGCGCUGGAAGAGGAGUCCGCGGCUGAUUAGCUAGAUGGCGGGGUAACGGCCCACCAUGGCGAAGAUCGGUAGCCGGCCUGAGAGGGCACACGGCCACACUGGCACUGAAACACGGGCCAGACUCCUACGGGAGGCAGCAGUGGGGAAUCUUGCACAAUGGAGGCAACUCUGAUGCAGCGACGCCGCGUGAGCGAUGAAGCCCUUCGGGGUGUAAAGCUCUUUCGACGGGAAAGAUUAUGACGGUACCCGGAGAAGAAGCUGCGGCUAACUACGUGCCAGCAGCCGCGGUAAUACGUAGGCAGCGAGCGUUGUUCGGAAUUACUGGGCGUAAAGAGUGUGUAGGCGGUGUUCCAAGUCUGGUGUGAAAUCUCCCGGCUUAACUGGGAGGGUGCGCCGGAAACUGGAAUGCUCGAGGGUGGGAGAGGUAAGCGGAAUUCCUGGUGCAGCGGUGAAAUGCGUAGAUAUCAGGAGGAACACCUGUGGUGUAGACAGCUUACUGGACCACUUCUGACGCUGAGACACGAAAGCGUGGGUAGCAAACAGGAUUAGAUACCCUAGUAGUCC